CUUGUUUACUUCAUGUUAAUUAAUGAUGCAUAAUUCCUAGAAAUGCAUGAUACUUUAUUAUGCAUAUCCUUAAGAUUUUGUCAUCAUUAAAAAGAAGGAGAUUAUUGACCCAAGGAUUGAUUUUAAUGCUAACAAAAUAUUGAGGACAAAUGGUACUAAUUUUGUAUUUCAAGAAUAGUUGUCGGAUUGCUUAGAGUUUCUCCCUCUCCCCUUCUCUCUUUCCUCUCUUCCCUACUCUCUCACUAUUUUCUCUUUCUACAACUUUUGCUCUCUAGAUUGUUUUUCGCUCUACAUGGAUUUUUUCUCUAGGAUGUUGGAUUCA
This 322-nucleotide long non-coding RNA is filed under the name Elaeis guineensis (African oil palm). RNAcentral describes it as "long non-coding RNA (EGUI_LNC072279)". Lineage: Eukaryota; Viridiplantae; Streptophyta; Magnoliopsida; Arecales; Arecaceae. The record is from RNAcentral.